ACAAAAGUGCUGAUGGAAAAAAGUACGUAUUUCUGAUUUUUCACAGAGAGCCGGGAAUGCUGGGAACCGGUAAAUAGGAAAUAGGGAAGUUCUUUCCGGAACUGCAUGACUGAAAUCGAAGUAGGUCUUGCCGGGGUGGCUUGCGUUAAGGAGCCGAGAGUUGAUCUGAUGAAGAUGAAUGAGGGUGGUACCACGGAGAAUCCGUCCCUUGG
Molecule: non-coding RNA, 212 nt
Filed under: Dialister sp.
Lineage: Bacteria; Bacillati; Bacillota; Negativicutes; Veillonellales; Veillonellaceae
Description: T-box sequence
Rfam family: T-box leader
About the family: Uncharged tRNA acts as the effector for transcription antitermination of genes in the T-box leader family.
Source: RNAcentral